CGGACGGGUGAGUAACGCGUGGGUAACCUGCCUCAUACAGGGGGAUAACAGUUAGAAAUGACUGCUAAUACCGCAUAAGACCACAGGAUUGCAUGAUCCGGUGGUAAAAACUCCGGUGGUAUGAGAUGGACCCGCGUCUGAUUAGGUAGUUGGUGGGGUAACGGCUCACCAAGCCGACGAUCAGUAGCCGACCUGAGAGGGUGACCGGCCACAUUGGGACUGAGACACGGCCCAAACUCCUACGGGAGGCAGCAUG
This 256-nucleotide ribosomal RNA is filed under the name uncultured bacterium. RNAcentral describes it as "partial 16S ribosomal RNA". It matches the Rfam family "Bacterial small subunit ribosomal RNA", at positions 99 to 353 of the family's 1533-position model. The record is from RNAcentral.